This 1985-nucleotide ribosomal RNA is filed under the name Meloidogyne coffeicola. Its description in RNAcentral is "SSU rRNA". The stretch from base 1 to 1685 matches the Rfam family "Eukaryotic small subunit ribosomal RNA". The record is from RNAcentral. Lineage: Eukaryota; Metazoa; Nematoda; Chromadorea; Rhabditida; Meloidogynidae.
UGGCCAUUAUUUACUUGAUCUUGACGCUCCUAAAUGGAUAACUGUGGAAAAGCUAGAGCUAAUACAUGCACCAAAGCUCCGACCCGUCAAGGGAAGAGCGCAUUUAUUAGAACAAAACCAAGCGGCUUUCAGCCGUUCCUUGCUGACUCAGAAUAACUAAGCUGGUCGCACGGCCUUGCGCUGGCGACGUGUCAUUCAAGCGUCUACUUUAUCAACUUGAUGGUAGCAUAAUUGACUACCAUGGUGGUGACGGAUAACGGAGGAUCAGGGUUCGACUCCGGAGAAGGGGCCUGAGAAAUGGCCACUACGUCUAAGGAUGGCAGCAGGCGCGCAAAUUACCCACUCUCGGCGCGAGGAGGUAGUGACGAGAAAUAACGAGGCGGUUCUCUUCAGAGGCCCGCCAUCGGAAUGGGUACAAUCUAAACCCUUUAACGAGUAUCUACGAGAGGGCAAGUCUGGUGCCAGCAGCCGCGGUAAUUCCAGCUCUCGAAAUUCAUAGAAUCAUUGCUGCGGUUAAAAAGCUCGUAGUUGGAUCUGUGAUGGCACCCAUGUGCGCUUACGGGCGUCUACAUGGUGUUUGUCGUCUUACACGCAGCGUCUCGCCGCGGGCCCUUCACUGGGCGCGUGUGCAGGCAUUGCAAGUUUACUUUGAACAAAUCAGAGUGCUUCAAACAAGCGUCACGCUUGUAUGUUCGUGCAUGGAAUAAUAGAAGAGGAUUUCGGUUCUAUUUUAUUGGUUUUAUGGGCUGAGAUAAUGGUUAACAGAGACAAACGGGGGCAUUCGUAUGGAUACGUGAGAGGUGAAAUUCUUGGACCGUAGCCAGACGGACAACAGCGAAAGCAUUUGCCAAGAAUGUCUUCAUUAAUCAAGAACGAAAGUCAGAGGUUCGAAGGCGAUCAGAUACCGCCCUAGUUCUGACCGUAAACGAUGCCAACUAGCGAUCCGCCGAUGGAAUUUUAUGUUGCCUUGGUGGGGAGCUUCCCGGAAACGAAAGUCUUCCGGUUCCGGGGGAAGUAUGGUUGCAAAGCUGAAACUUAAAGGAAUUGACGGAAGGGCACCACCAGGAGUGGAGCCUGCGGCUUAAUUUGACUCAACACGGGAAAACUCACCCGGCCCGGACACCGUGAGGAUUGACAGAUUGAUAGCUUUUUCAUGAUUCGGUGGAUGGUGGUGCAUGGCCGUUCUUAGUUCGUGGAGCGAUUUGUCUGGUUUAUUCCGAUAACGAGCGAGACUCUGGCCUACUAAAUAGUCGGCGUAUUGCCACUGUGCGCACGACUUCUUAGAGGGAUUUUCGGUGUUCAGCCGCACGAAAUUGAGCAAUAACAGGUCUGUGAUGCCCUUAGAUGUCCGGGGCUGCACGCGCGCUACACUGGCAAAAUCAGCGUGCUUGUCCUGCCUCGAAAGAGGCUGGUAAACCCUUGAAAAUUUGCCGUGAUUGGGAUCGGAAAUUGCAAUUAUUUUCCGUGAACGAGGAAUUCCAAGUAAGUGCGAGUCAUCAGCUCGCGUUGAUUACGUCCCUGCCCUUUGUACACACCGCCCGUCGCUGCCCGGGACUGAGCCGCUUCGAGAAACUUGGGGACCGUUGGGUUCUCGGCGCGCAUUCGUGUGUCGCGUUCUCGAUGGAAACCAAUUUAAUCGCAGUGGCUUGAACCGGGCAAAAGUCGUAACAAGGUAGCAAUCACUAGUGUUCCCGCGGCCGCCAUGCCGGCCGGCCGCAUGCGACGUCGGGCCCCCUUCGCCCUGUAGUGCGUCGCUUUACUAUUCUCUGGCCGCCCCUUUACAGCGUCGCGUCUGCGUGGUCCCUGCCGUUUCCCGUCUUAAUCGCCUUGCCGCUCACCCCUCCUCUCGCCAGCCGGGCCGGAAGCACGAAGUGGCCCGCCCCGGGCGCCCUUCCAGUCAGCUGCCCCGCCUGAAUGGCGUUGCGCUCACUGCCCGCUUUCCGCUCGGGAACCCUGUCGUGCCAGCUGCAUUCAUGCAUCGUGCC